RNAcentral lists this long non-coding RNA (1047 nucleotides) under Olea europaea subsp. europaea. Lineage: Eukaryota; Viridiplantae; Streptophyta; Magnoliopsida; Lamiales; Oleaceae. The record is from RNAcentral.
CUUUGAUAUUGUCAAUGGUGUCAUUGGAUUCGACCUCAAGGGUUAUAAUUUUCUAUUUAGAGAUUUCACCAAGAUUUGCAUUUUCCUCUCUACUGAUAGAAUUUUUAAUUUGAGAUUGGGCUAAUGGGCAUGUUUUGUAUAUAAUGUGAAAAGUGAAAAUUACAACACACCUACUUUAAAAAUCCAGAAUUCUAAAAUCAGGUUGGAUAUUAUAUAUAUUAAUUAAUAUACCAUAUUUUAUUCCAAACCCUAAUUCAUUUUCUUCUUCUCUUUCUUCUAUCUAUUCUCAUCUUCCUUACUAUACUCUCUCCUCCCUCUUUUCCAACAACAUCACUCUCUACCCUCUCUGUUGAUGAUGCAACCUCGCACCAUCGCCGUGAGAUAGUACGGCAUGGCCUUGCGAGAUACCACCUCCACAAGAUGCUGCAGCCUCGUACCACCUCCCAUCUCUAACGUUGCUAUUGCUUUCCUCCCUUGAAGCAACAUUGCAGUUACGCGUAGGUCUCCCAUUAGUCAUCAACAAUGCGAGGGCCACCGCUUAGGACCAUUGCCACCGCUACAUGUAGAGCAGUGCAUCCAACUUCAGCCUAGUGGGGCUUUCCCUUCAGUUCAUAGAGGUGAUGAAUUUGGGGUUUUGUGAUUUUGGGUGAUUUCUCUUCUUCUCCGAUUUGUUUAGUUGGGUAUUUUUUAUUGGUUGGUGGUGGUUGUUGUGAUGGUGUGGUGCUUGGUAGUGAUUUUACGGUUGUUGUGGUGUAUGGUGGUAGAAUUGCUGUGGUGUAUAGUGGUAGUUUGUGGCUGCUAGUAUUGUAGUUGCUAUGUCUGGUGAGGUAGUGGUGGUGUUAGUGGUGACGGUGGUGGCAGUGGCAGCAACGACGACGGUGGGGUGUUUGUGGUGGUGUUGUUGGGGAGGUGGUGUGGUGGUUCUGAUGAUGACAGUGAUGGUGCUUGAGACAGUGGUUGAAAGUGGUAGGCGUCAUGUGACCAUUAAAUUGGUUAGUCAGUGACCAAUAAACAAUAUGUGAUUAAUGAAAAAUAUAAAUUGCAAUC